Molecule: ribosomal RNA, 798 nt
Filed under: Bacillus subtilis
Lineage: Bacteria; Bacillati; Bacillota; Bacilli; Caryophanales; Bacillaceae
Description: bacterial SSU rRNA
Rfam family: Bacterial small subunit ribosomal RNA
Source: RNAcentral
UGCAGUCGAGCGGACAGAUGGGAGCUUGCUCCCUGAUGUUAGCGGCGGACGGGUGAGUAACACGUGGGUAACCUGCCUGUAAGACUGGGAUAACUCCGGGAAACCGGGGCUAAUACCGGAUGGUUGUUUGAACCGCAUGGUUCAGACAUAAAAGGUGGCUUCGGCUACCACUUACAGAUGGACCCGCGGCGCAUUAGCUAGUUGGUGAGGUAACGGCUCACCAAGGCAACGAUGCGUAGCCGACCUGAGAGGGUGAUCGGCCACACUGGGACUGAGACACGGCCCAGACUCCUACGGGAGGCAGCAGUAGGGAAUCUUCCGCAAUGGACGAAAGUCUGACGGAGCAACGCCGCGUGAGUGAUGAAGGUUUUCGGAUCGUAAAGCUCUGUUGUUAGGGAAGAACAAGUGCCGUUCAAAUAGGGCGGCACCUUGACGGUACCUAACCAGAAAGCCACGGCUAACUACGUGCCAGCAGCCGCGGUAAUACGUAGGUGGCAAGCGUUGUCCGGAAUUAUUGGGCGUAAAGGGCUCGCAGGCGGUUUCUUAAGUCUGAUGUGAAAGCCCCCGGCUCAACCGGGGAGGGUCAUUGGAAACUGGGGAACUUGAGUGCAGAAGAGGAGAGUGGAAUUCCACGUGUAGCGGUGAAAUGCGUAGAGAUGUGGAGGAACACCAGUGGCGAAGGCGACUCUCUGGUCUGUAACUGACGCUGAGGAGCGAAAGCGUGGGGGAGCGAACAGGAUUAGAUACCCUGGUAGUCCACGCCGUAAACGAUGAGUGCUAAGUGUUAAGGGGGUUUCC